UGGGGGUUAGUUUAAUGGGUAAAACAUUGGAUCUUGGUUUCAAUGAUACAGGUUCGAGUCCUGUACCCCUAU
Molecule: transfer RNA, 72 nt
Filed under: Plakina jani
Lineage: Eukaryota; Metazoa; Porifera; Homoscleromorpha; Homosclerophorida; Plakinidae
Description: tRNA-Gln
Rfam family: tRNA
About the family: Transfer RNA (tRNA) molecules are approximately 80 nucleotides in length. Their secondary structure includes four short double-helical elements and three loops (D, anti-codon, and T loops). Further hydrogen bonds mediate the characteristic L-shaped molecular structure. tRNAs have two regions of fundamental functional importance: the anti-codon, which is responsible for specific mRNA codon recognition, and the 3' end, to which the tRNAs corresponding amino acid is attached (by aminoacyl-tRNA synthetases). tRNAs cope with the degeneracy of the genetic code in two manners: having more than one tRNA (with a specific anti-codon) for a particular amino acid; and 'wobble' base-pairing, i.e. permitting non-standard base-pairing at the 3rd anti-codon position.
Source: RNAcentral